GCUUCGGUGGUCUAGUGGUUAGAGCGUCCGCCUCAGAUGCGAGAGGUCACGGAUUCGAUGUCCGGCUGAGUUA
Molecule: non-coding RNA, 73 nt
Organism: Potamilus streckersoni
Lineage: Eukaryota; Metazoa; Mollusca; Bivalvia; Unionida; Unionidae
Source: the annotation of a GenBank genome assembly